CUUCUGGACACUGUGGACACUAUCUGAGAUGUGCUCUAUUUACAACACCGCUCCCAGCAUAUGGUAUGCAGCUAUUGAGUUGGAAAGUGCUUACACUGCACCAGCUGGAAAGACUUCUCGUGCCCAGAGCCAAUCACAACUGGCAGCUUUAUGGCUUAUAAGCUCCAUCUGGAAUCACUGAGGAAUCAUGGAAAAAUGCCUUGUCCCGGAUCUGCAUCUGAAAAAGCUCCUCGUCUCGAGUGGGUAACUUCUGGGUCCUUGAGCUGAGUGGUAAGAGCAGCCACAGCAGACACCAGUGGAGCGGCACCAUCCUGCAGGGACAGAAAUGAUCGCUGAGGUUAGUUCUGUGAGCAGACA
Molecule: long non-coding RNA, 357 nt
Organism: Talpa occidentalis (Iberian mole)
Lineage: Eukaryota; Metazoa; Chordata; Mammalia; Eulipotyphla; Talpidae
Exons: 3
Source: RefSeq, a predicted model, not a curated record